UGAUCACAUCAAAAUCAGUUUUGAUUUUGGACAGUGGGCCUCUGCCGGAAAUAUAUUCCGGCUGGCCUGAAAAUGAGAAGAGCACUUAAUGCAGGAAAAGCAUUCAGACUGUUUAUUGUCAAAGGCGAAAAGCUUAUUAGUUGACUUUGGUCAUCCCAGCUGAAUACCCUUUGUAAAGCAAAACAAAGUCUGUCUCAAA
Molecule: unclassified non-coding RNA, 199 nt
Filed under: uncultured Ascomycota
Lineage: Eukaryota; Fungi; Ascomycota
Description: sequence contains ITS2
Source: RNAcentral